Molecule: non-coding RNA, 400 nt
Organism: Pelobates cultripes (western spadefoot toad)
Lineage: Eukaryota; Metazoa; Chordata; Amphibia; Anura; Pelobatidae
Source: the annotation of a GenBank genome assembly
UCAUUUGCUGUAAAUUUUGAUAUCUCUAGUUGUCUGUCUAUGUAACUCCUUGUUGUCUGCACUUGCUUGGGAAUUUUCCAAAGAGUGAAGUCAGCAGCUGUUUGUUUAAAGUUGAGCAACGUGCAGGAAGGUUUAACAUAGGUAUUAGCUACAGACUCGAGUUGGAAAAGUGAUAUCUUAUACUCACAGGGCGAGGUGAGAGAAACACGAAGGCAAACCGUAACUGUCCCAAAACCAUCAAAUAGAUAAUCUCUCUAUUAACGCUUUACCUCACCACGUUGGUAAUCUAAUCCACUACCAGACCUUGCAGUACAGAAAUGAGGGUAAAUGAGGUCUGGAAUUCAGAAAUAUGAUGGGGGGUGAUUUGUGGAAUAUACAAGAGAUAUGCGAUCAGGUAAAG